GACGAACGCUGGCGGCGUGCCUAAUACAUGCAAGUAGAACGCUGAAGGAGGAGCUUGCUCUUCUGGAUGAGUUGCGAACGGGCGAGUAACGCGUAGGUAACCUGCCUGGUAGCGGGGGAUAACUAUUGGAAACGAUAGCUAAUACCGCAUAAGAGUAGAUGUUGCAUGACAUUUACUUAAAAGGUGCAAUUGCAUCACUACCAGAUGGACCUGCGUUGUAUUAGCUAGUUGGUGGGGUAACGGCUUACCAAGGCGACGAUACAUAGCCGACCUGAGAGGGGGAUCGGCCACACUGGGACUGAGACACGGCCCAGACUCCUACGGGAGGCAGCAGUAGGGAAUCUUCGGCAAUGGACGGAAGUCUGACCGAGCAACGCCGCGUGAGUGAAGAAGGUUUUCGGAUCGUAAAGCUCUGUUGUAAGAGAAGAACGAGUGUGAGAGUGGAAAGUUCACACUGUGACGGUAUCUUACCAGAAAGGGACGGCUAACUACGUG
Molecule: ribosomal RNA, 495 nt
Filed under: uncultured bacterium
Lineage: Bacteria
Description: partial 16S ribosomal RNA
Rfam family: Bacterial small subunit ribosomal RNA
Source: RNAcentral